RNAcentral lists this ribosomal RNA (109 nucleotides) under Carlito syrichta (Philippine tarsier). The record is from RNAcentral. Lineage: Eukaryota; Metazoa; Chordata; Mammalia; Primates; Tarsiidae.
GUCGAUGGCCAUACCACCCUGAACGCACCCAGUCUGGUCUGACCUGAGAAGCUAAGCAGGGUCGGUCCUGAUUCAUACUUGGGUGGGAGAAAGCAUGCAGUCAGCAAAU